This 399-nucleotide RNase P RNA is filed under the name Bacteroidia bacterium. RNAcentral's name for it is "RNase P RNA component class A". It matches the Rfam family "Bacterial RNase P class A". Rfam says of the family: Ribonuclease P (RNase P) is a ubiquitous endoribonuclease, found in archaea, bacteria and eukarya as well as chloroplasts and mitochondria. Its best characterised activity is the generation of mature 5'-ends of tRNAs by cleaving the 5'-leader elements of precursor-tRNAs. Cellular RNase Ps are ribonucleoproteins. The record is from RNAcentral. Lineage: Bacteria; Pseudomonadati; Bacteroidota; Bacteroidia.
UCGGCAAAAGGCUUCAUCGCUGCAUGUAAUAAGGCAGAGGAAAGUCCGGGCAACACAGAGCGCCAUACUUCCUAACGGGAAGGGUUUUAAGAAAUUAAAAUACAGCAAGUGCCACAGAAAAUAACCGUUUCGCAGCAAUGCGGAAUAAGGGUGCAAACGUGAGGUAAGAGCUCACGCAGCCCGCAGUAAUGUUGGGUUGGGGUAAACCUUAUGGGUUGAAAGGCCACAUAGGUUGUAAGUUAUAAACGGCUCGUUUAUGCAACAUGUGCAAACAUGUUGCCUUACAAUGGGUAGGCUGCUACAGGUUGUACGCGAGUACAAUCGCAGAUAAAUGAUGAAGGACUUAUUACUGCCAGCAGUUAUAAGUAACAGAACCCGGCUUAUUAUUUUGCCGACACC